Molecule: ribosomal RNA, 782 nt
Filed under: Aphelenchoides sp. N4
Lineage: Eukaryota; Metazoa; Nematoda; Chromadorea; Rhabditida; Aphelenchoididae
Description: bacterial SSU rRNA
Rfam family: Eukaryotic small subunit ribosomal RNA
Source: RNAcentral
ACUGCGAACGGCUCAUUACAACAGAUAUAAUUUACUUGUUCUCUUCCUAAACGGAUAACUGCGGUAAUUCUGGAGCCAAUACGUGUCAAACAGCCGUGUGCAGCAAUGCGUACGGUGCACUUAUCGGAGCAAACCAUUUUGCGUUAAAUCUGGAUAACACUGCGUAUCGCAUGACCUAGUGUCGGCGAAGUUACAUUCAAGUAUCUGCCUUAUCAACUAUCGUUGGUAGUGUAUUGGACUACCAUGGUGUUGACGGGUAACGGAGAAUCAGGGUUCGACUCYGGAGAGGGAGCCUUAGAAACGGCUACCAUGUCUAAGGACAGCAGCAGGCGCGCAACUUAUCCACUGUUCAUCGAACGAGAUAGUGACGAGAAAUAACAAGCCCAUUCUCUAUGAGGUUGGGCAUUGGAAUGGAUGGAACGCAAACAAUUCCAUGAGUAUCAAUGAGAGGGCAAGUCUGGUGCCAGCAGCCGCGGUAAUUCCAGCUCUCAUAAUGUAUAGAAUUAUUGUUGCGGUUAAAAAGUUCGUAGUUGGAUUUAGUGCUGUUUGCCGGUCGACCUUAACGGGUUGUACUGGCAACAGCUUUUACACCCAAGUGGGUUCUACUCACUGGGGUGUGGAUUACUUUGAACGGCUUAAGUGCUCAAGGCGAGUCUUCGGACUGAAUACCGGUGCAUGGAAUAAUGGAACAAGGUUUAGGCCGAGUUUUAUUGGUUUUGUCGGCCGAGACAAUGGUUAAUAGGAACAGCUGGGGGCACUCGUAUCGAUGCACGAGAGGUGAA